This is a long non-coding RNA of Oxyura jamaicensis (ruddy duck), 981 nucleotides long. RefSeq lists it as uncharacterized. The record is from RefSeq and is a predicted model, not a curated record. NCBI's taxonomy places the organism in Eukaryota, Metazoa, Chordata, Aves, Anseriformes, Anatidae. The transcript is spliced from 2 exons.
AAUUAGAGACCAGGGGCCUUCUUUGUCACCCUGACACCUUCAGCCAAACCAUAGACCCUCAUAUUUAUCUGACGUUAACAUGGCACCAGAGGUUUGCCUCUAGCUGCAGGUAUUUUCUUGUUCGUCUGUUACAAGAUAGAGCGAAAAAGGAGCUCCUGACCUGUGUGGAAUCAUUCAGUAUUUUGCAGGCUCCUAUCUGCAUGGCUGCAAGGACUAACAAAUGCCUAUUUAAAAAUAUUUAUUUUUCAUUGUCGUAAAGGUAAAAAUCACCCACACAUUGCAGAUAUUACACACAACAGUGAUUCUGGUAAAAGAUAGGUAUGAACUGGAAGCAGCUCGGUGAGUUUCUUGCUCAGUGUUAGUUUAUUUGAAUACUGCCAACAAGAAUAUUAUCAGUUUCAUUUCUCUGAAUGAGGCCUAUUUAGCUUGUAUAUCAUUUUUAGAGGUGUAGGAAAGAGUUGCCCUUAUAAUUGGUUCAUGUCCAGCCAUGCAUUUCACACCUUGUCAGAUGGCUUGUUCUGCAAGUAAUUCUUCAAAGGACACACCCUCAGCUAUUCCAUUUGCCUGGGCCUCUGAAGUAUGACACCCUUAGAAGAAAUAUGAGAUGGCUUCAAAAAUAUUAGGGGAACCCUACCUCAAAAAGAUGAUAAGUCAUGUUCUGCAAAGAUAAUAUAUCCCUUCAUACUGGCACAGAUUGAUCUUUGUAAAGCUAGCUAUUUUCCUUCCAAGUUUAGGUUUAAAAUUUCUCUCAGCUUUGUUGAGAAGCGUUUACUCAUCUGUCUCUCACACAUACACAAAAAAUGUCAUACAUUUGAUGCCUACCAAUGCCAACAACUUUCAGAAGCAGUCAUCUUGUGGGUGCAAUGAAAUAUCAACUAGACAUCUCAAGCUAUUCUCCAAAUAUAAAUAUGUGUCUGUAAAUCGUUCCUAGAGGCAGAUGGGGCACAAAUCAAAAUUCAUACAGAUCUUAUUAAAAGAAAA